This is a long non-coding RNA of Musca vetustissima, 212 nucleotides long. RefSeq lists it as uncharacterized. The record is from RefSeq and is a predicted model, not a curated record. NCBI's taxonomy places the organism in Eukaryota, Metazoa, Arthropoda, Insecta, Diptera, Muscidae. The transcript has 2 exons.
AUACCCUCCACCAUAGUAUGGAGGGUAUAUUAAUUUUGUCAUUCCGUUUGUAGCACAUCGAAAUAUUCAUUUCCGACCCUAUAAAGUAUAUAUAUUCUUGAUCAGGGUAAAAUUCUAAGACGAUCUAGCCAUGUCCGUCCGUCUGUCCGUCCGUCUCCAUGUCCGUCCGUAUGUCCGUCUGUCCGUCUGUUGUAAUCACGCUAUCUUUCGAA